Molecule: ribosomal RNA, 425 nt
Filed under: uncultured bacterium
Lineage: Bacteria
Description: partial 16S ribosomal RNA
Rfam family: Bacterial small subunit ribosomal RNA
Source: RNAcentral
GUGGGGAAUCUUGCGCAAUGGGCGAAAGCCUGACGCAGCCAUGCCGCGUGAAUGAUGAAGGUCUUAGGAUUGUAAAAUUCAUUCACCGGGGACGAUAAUGACGGUACCCGGAGAAGAAGCCCCGGCUAACUUCGUGCCAGCAGCCGCGGUAAUACGAAGGGGGCUAGCGUUGCUCGGAAUUACUGGGCGUAAAGGGCGCGUAGGCGGAUCGUUAAGUCAGGGGUGAAAUCCCAGAGCUCAACUCUGGAACUGCCCUUGAUACUGGCGAUCUUGAGUGUGAGAGAGGUAUGUGGAACUCCGAGUGUAGAGGUGAAAUUCGUAGAUAUUCGGAAGAACACCAGUGGCGAAGGCGACAUACUGGCUCAUUACUGACGCUGAGGCGCGAAAGCGUGGGGAGCAAACAGGAUUAGAAACCCCUGUAGUCC